UACGUAGGGUGCGAGCGUUGUCCGGAUUUAUUGGGCGUAAAGGGCUCGUAGGCGGCGUGUCGCGUCGGGAGUGAAAGCCCGUUGCUUAACGGCGGGUUGGCUUUCGGUACGGGCAUGCUGGAGUGCGGCAGGGGAGAACGGAAUUCCGUGGUGUAGCGGUGAAAUGCGCAGAUAUCAGGAGGAACACCGGUGGCGAAGGCGGUUCUCUGGGCCUGAUACUGACGCUGAGGAGCGAAAGCGUGGGGAGCGAA
RNAcentral lists this ribosomal RNA (251 nucleotides) under uncultured bacterium. Its description in RNAcentral is "partial 16S ribosomal RNA". It matches the Rfam family "Bacterial small subunit ribosomal RNA", at positions 524 to 772 of the family's 1533-position model. The record is from RNAcentral.